ACUCUUCGGAGGCGUUACACAGGUGCUGCAUGGCCGUCGUCAGCUCGUGUCGUGAGAUGUUUGGUUAAGUCCAGCAACGAGCGCAACCCCUGUUGCCAGUUACCGGCACGUGAAGGUGGGGACUCUGGCGAGACUGCCCAGAUCAACUGGGAGGAAGGUGGGGACGACGUCAGGUCAGUAUGGCCCUUAUGCCCAGGGCUGCACACGUACUACAAUGCCCAGUACAGAGGGGGCCGAAGCCGCGAGGCGGAGGAAAUCCUAAAAACUGGGCCCAGUUCGGACUGUAGGCUGCAACCCGCCUACACGAAGCCGGAAUCGCUAGUAAUGGCGCAUCAGCUACGGCGCCGUGAAUACGUUCCCGGGUCUUGUACACACCGCCCGUCACAUCAUGGAAGCCGGUCGCACCCGAAGUAUCUGAAGCCAACCGCAAGGAGGCAGGGUCCUAAGGUGAGACUGGUAACUGGGAUGAAGUCGUAACAAGGUAGCCGUAGGGGAACCUGCGGCUGGAUCACCUC
This 515-nucleotide ribosomal RNA is filed under the name uncultured bacterium. RNAcentral describes it as "bacterial SSU rRNA". It matches the Rfam family "Bacterial small subunit ribosomal RNA", at positions 1014 to 1529 of the family's 1533-position model. The record is from RNAcentral.